UACAGAGGUCUCAAGCGUUGUUCGGAUUCAUUGGGCGUAAAGGGUGCGUAGGUGGCGCUGUAAGUCGGGUGUGAAAUUGCGGAGCUUAACUCCGAAACUGCAUUCGAUACUGCGGUGCUUGAGGACUGGAGAGGAGACUGGAAUUCAUGGUGUAGCAGUGAAAUGCGUAGAGAUCAUGAGGAAGACCAGUGGCGAAGGCGGGUCUCUGGACAGUUCCUGACACUGAGGCACGAAGGCCAGGGGAGCAAACGGG
This 253-nucleotide ribosomal RNA is filed under the name uncultured bacterium. Its description in RNAcentral is "partial 16S ribosomal RNA". It matches the Rfam family "Bacterial small subunit ribosomal RNA", at positions 524 to 776 of the family's 1533-position model. The record is from RNAcentral.